RNAcentral lists this non-coding RNA (23 nucleotides) under Cricetulus griseus (Chinese hamster). Lineage: Eukaryota; Metazoa; Chordata; Mammalia; Rodentia; Cricetidae. The record is from RNAcentral.
GGAUUUAGUAGUAAAUUAAGAAU